GCCAGGGGUGGUGGUACAUCCCUAUAGUCCCAGCUCCUUGGGAGGCUGAGGCAGAUGGACGGCUUGAAUCCAGGAGUUUGAGAGCAGCUUGGACAACAUAGCAAUACCCCCUCUCUA
This 117-nucleotide small RNA is filed under the name Marmota monax (woodchuck). The record is from RNAcentral. Lineage: Eukaryota; Metazoa; Chordata; Mammalia; Rodentia; Sciuridae.